UCCAUAUGUUUGACAGCAAAUCUUUUGUGCCUAUUUGAAGCGCCACUCGCGAGCGUCCAGAGAACUAAUUUUGACGUAUAAUACAAAUGGCUGCGAAGGAACGUACAAUACUCUGAAGUAUUUUUACAUUUUGAAAUAAUUUCCUACGUUUUUCGUGUUAUUUAUACUUCAAGAAUCAACUUUAUAAUGUACACAAUUUUUUUUUAAAUAGUUAACCACCAUCUAUGUUGUCCACUAGGUUGUCAUCACUAGUUUUAGUACACUCUCGCUACAUGGCCAACAGUGCUAAAAUGGCGAAUAUCAAACAGGCACAAAAGCACUUUGACAGCCGCCAGUCCAAUGGUAUAUAGUAGAGGUUACUUCCCAUUCACCUAUUAUAAUAAAACUAAUCAAGAAGAGUUCUUGGCCUGUGCGUCCCCGUAGCGUUAAAAGAAUAGGGACGUCCCAGGCCCAUGGGUGUCGUAAGAGGUGACUAAGUGCUCGAUUUCGAUGUGGAAGAGUCCUACGCGGACGUCAGCACAAACAGGCCAGACUCGACUGGAUUAGCACCACACACACACACACAAAACGGGGCGUGAAGGUUGAAGGAAGUUCGCAUAGGUUGUUCUUGAGAAGAGCAACUGGUUACGAUCUACUGGAGAUUUGCAUAGAAAAUUGUGCACAGUGCAAGAAGAUGCUGGGCGCGUGGUUUGAAGGACCACUAUGCGCUGAAUCCUGCAUCAAGUUCAAAGGAAAGUUGAUUCCUGAAUGCGAAGA
Long non-coding RNA from Leptidea sinapis, 756 nucleotides. RefSeq lists it as uncharacterized. The transcript is spliced from 3 exons. Lineage: Eukaryota; Metazoa; Arthropoda; Insecta; Lepidoptera; Pieridae. The record is from RefSeq and is a predicted model, not a curated record.